CGUAUUACAAUGGCCGGUACAGAGGGCAGCUACCACGCGAGUGGAUGCGUAAUCUCGAAAACCGGUCUCAGUUCGGAUUGGAGUCUGCAACUCGACUCUAUGAAGCUGGAAUCGCUAGUAAUCGCAUAUCAGCCAUGAUGCGGUGAAUACGGUCCCGGGCCUUGUACACCGCCCGUCAAGCCAUGGAAGCCGGGGGUACCUGAAGUCGGUGACCGUAACAGGAGCUGCCUAGGGUAAAACUGGUAACUAGGGCUAAGUCGUAACAAGGUAGCCGUAA
RNAcentral lists this ribosomal RNA (277 nucleotides) under uncultured bacterium. Its description in RNAcentral is "partial 16S ribosomal RNA". It matches the Rfam family "Bacterial small subunit ribosomal RNA", at positions 1221 to 1505 of the family's 1533-position model. The record is from RNAcentral.